GGGUAUAUAGCUUAAUGGUAGAGUGCAUGCUUAGCAUGCAUAAGGUCCUGGGUUCCAUCCCCAGUACCUCUA
RNAcentral lists this transfer RNA (72 nucleotides) under Camelus bactrianus (Bactrian camel). It matches the Rfam family "tRNA". From Rfam's summary of the family: Transfer RNA (tRNA) molecules are approximately 80 nucleotides in length. Their secondary structure includes four short double-helical elements and three loops (D, anti-codon, and T loops). RNAcentral also lists the same sequence under 1 other name. Lineage: Eukaryota; Metazoa; Chordata; Mammalia; Artiodactyla; Camelidae. The record is from Rfam by way of RNAcentral.